RNAcentral lists this ribosomal RNA (253 nucleotides) under uncultured bacterium. RNAcentral describes it as "partial 16S ribosomal RNA". It matches the Rfam family "Bacterial small subunit ribosomal RNA", at positions 524 to 777 of the family's 1533-position model. The record is from RNAcentral.
UACGAAGGGGGCAAGCGUUGUUCGGAAUUACUGGGCGUAAAGGGCGCGUAGGCGGCCGAUCAAGUCAGGCGUGAAAUUCCCGGGCUCAACCUGGGGCUGCGCUUGAUACUGAUUGGCUUGAAUGCGGGAGAGGAUAGUGGAAUUCCCAGUGUAGAGGUGAAAUUCGUAGAUAUUGGGAAGAACACCAGUGGCGAAGGCGGCUAUCUGGCCCGUUAUUGACGCUGAGGCGCGAAAGCGUGGGGAGCAAACAGGG